Triticum dicoccoides is the source of this 919-nucleotide long non-coding RNA. RefSeq lists it as uncharacterized. The transcript has 3 exons. NCBI's taxonomy places the organism in Eukaryota, Viridiplantae, Streptophyta, Magnoliopsida, Poales, Poaceae. The record is from RefSeq and is a predicted model, not a curated record.
GCUUGGACAACCGAGCUAAGACGGCGAUGCCACCACCUACUUGUAUCUGUACAGGAACUCCGGUGAUUAUUUCUUUCUGCUGAGCACCUUCAAUUCCCCUUUCCCCAGCUCGAAGGAAUUGGCGCCUCCGUUAGUGACCCCGAGUAGUGAUGCAAUGAUUUUCCAAAAAUGAAGAAGCUUGUCGUUCAACCGAUGACAAAACACCUAGAGUACGUGCAAAAAUUACUACUUCCUCAUUUACAGCAAACUCAUUGAUACGACAAAGGCAAAAUUUUGGGUGGCAAGGUAUAUGAUUAGAUCAUGUGUAAUCUUCUAGAUGCAUUUUUCUAUUCUUCCAUUGUGUUCUUUAGACAUGCCUCUUUUUGUUAUUUUACAUCAGUUAACUGAAGUUCAUAUUAUUCCUUUAUCUGAUUGUAGCUUCAAAGUUUGAUUACAGCAGAGUCAUUGAUACAACAUACACAGUUUGUGAAUUUACCUACUACUACGAGUUACGUCAUAUAGCAAUGUUUUCUUGCCUAGAAAAAUAUUACAUGAAAGGCCUAAUGUCUUGUGAAUGUGUAUAGUAGCUACGAGUAGGUGGUCAAACUGUACACCUUUAAAGCAUGAAUAAGGUGCUAGCUUAUGUGCUGCAGUUGCUUUGCAUUGUUCAGAUGCAAUGUGUUUUCGCUCAGCGGGAGCACUUCUUCUGAUUAUUUAUAAUUUUUAGUUUGCUUCUUAUAAUUUUAAGACAAUUUUUGCGACUUGGAAUGUAUAGCAUCCCCCUUUUCUCACUGGAAAUGACAUGUAAGAACAAACCAGUUCCAGUUCUGGCAUAGUUCUGAUGGUUGAAGUGUAUGUCUAUAUGAUUUAGUAUAUGCAUGGGAGUACCCGCUAAACGAUGAAGCAUAUUGUGUCGUGUUAGCUCCAUCUAGCUUUAUUA